UGGGAAACAGGUUAAUAUUCCUGUACUUGGUGUUACUGCGAAGGGGGGACGGAGAAGGCUAUGUUAGCCGGGCGACGGUUGUCCCGGUUUAAGCAUGUAGGCUGGUUAUCCAGGCAAAUCCGGAUAAUCAAGGCUGAGGUGUGAUGACGAGGCACUACGGUGCUGAAGUAACAAAUGCCCUGCUUCCAGGAAAAGCCUCUAAGCAUCAGGUAACAUCAAAUCGUACACCAAACCG
Molecule: ribosomal RNA, 235 nt
Filed under: Klebsiella pneumoniae
Lineage: Bacteria; Pseudomonadati; Pseudomonadota; Gammaproteobacteria; Enterobacterales; Enterobacteriaceae
Description: partial 23S ribosomal RNA
Rfam family: Bacterial large subunit ribosomal RNA
Source: RNAcentral